This 465-nucleotide ribosomal RNA is filed under the name uncultured bacterium. RNAcentral's name for it is "partial 16S ribosomal RNA". It matches the Rfam family "Bacterial small subunit ribosomal RNA", at positions 28 to 507 of the family's 1533-position model. The record is from RNAcentral.
GACGAACGCUGGCGGCGUGCUUAACACAUGCAAGUCGAACGGAAAGGCCCUGCUUGCAGGGUACUCGAGUGGCGAACGGGUGAGUAACACGUGGGUGAUCUGCCCUGCACUUCGGGAUAAGCCUGGGAAACUGGGUCUAAUACCGGAUAGGAGCCAUUUUUAGUGUGAUGGUUGGAAAGUUUUUUCGGUGUAGGAUGAGCUCGCGGCCUAUCAGCUUGUUGGUGGGGUAAUGGCCUACCAAGGCGGCGACGGGUAGCCGGCGUGAGAGGGUGGACGGCCACAUUGGGACUGAGAUACGGCCCAGACUCCUACGGGAGGCAGCAGUGGGGAAUAUUGCACAAUGGGCGCAAGCCUGAUGCAGCGACGCCGCGUGGGGGAUGACGGCCUUCGGGUUGUAAACUCCUUUCGCUAGGGACGAAGCUUUUUGUGACGGUACCUAGAUAAGAAGCACCGGCUAACUACGUG